AACCAGCACCUCAAGUGGUCAGGAUGAUUAUUGGGCCUAAAGCAUCCGUAGCCUGCUCUGUAAGUUUUCGGUUAAAUCUGUAUGCUCAACAUACAGGCUGCCGGGAAUACUGCAGAGCUAGGGAGUGGGAGAGGUAGACGGUACUCGGGAGGAAGUGGUAAAAUGCUUUGAUCUCUCGAUGACCACCUGUGGCGAAGGCGGUCUACCAGAACACGUCCGACGGUGAGGGAUGAAAGCUGGGGGAGCAAACCGGAUUAGAAACCCGUGUAGUCC
This 273-nucleotide ribosomal RNA is filed under the name uncultured bacterium. RNAcentral describes it as "partial 16S ribosomal RNA". It matches the Rfam family "Archaeal small subunit ribosomal RNA", at positions 474 to 747 of the family's 1478-position model. The record is from RNAcentral.